CCSSMGGCRRCCCCCUUCGGGGUACUCGRUGGCGAACGGGUGAGUAAYAYGUGGGUGACCUGCCCUGCACUCUGGGAUAAGCCUGGGAAACUGGGUCUAAUACCGGAUAUUCCCUUCUGGCCGCAUGGUUGGUUGGGGAAAGCGUUAUGUAGCGGUGUGGGAUGGGCCCGCGGCCUAUCAGCUUGUUGGUGGGGUGAUGGCCUACCAAGGCGACGACGGGUAGCCGGCCUGAGAGGGUGACCGGCCACACUGGGACUGAGAUACGGCCCAGACUCCUACGGGAGGCAGCAGUGGGGAAUAUUGCACAAUGGGCGCAAGCCUGAUGCAGCGACGCCGCGUGAGGGAUGACGGCCUUCGGGUUGUAAACCUCUUUCAGCGCCGACGAAGCGUAAGUGACGGUAGGCGCAGAAGAAGCACCGGCCAACUACGUGCCAGCAGCCGCGGUAAUAWWUAGGGUGCGAGCGUUGUCCGGAAUUACUGGGCGUAAAGAGCUCGUAGGUGGUUUGUCGCGUUGUCCGUGAAAUCCCACGGCUUAACUGUGGGCGUGCGGGCGAUACGGGCAGACUAGAGUGCUGCAGGGGAGACUGGAAUUCCUGGUGUAGCGGUGGAAUGCGCAGAUAUCAGGAGGAACACCGGUGGCGAAGGCGGGUCUCUGGGCAGCUACUGACGCUGAGGAGCGAAAGCGUGGGGAGCGAACAGGAUUAGAUACCCUGUAGUCCACGCCGUAACGGUGGGUACUAGGUGUGGGUUYCUUUUCCUAAGGGAUCCGSUGCCSGUARCYYWAASGGC
This 789-nucleotide ribosomal RNA is filed under the name Mycolicibacterium hassiacum. Its description in RNAcentral is "partial 16S ribosomal RNA". It matches the Rfam family "Bacterial small subunit ribosomal RNA", at positions 67 to 860 of the family's 1533-position model. Lineage: Bacteria; Bacillati; Actinomycetota; Actinomycetes; Mycobacteriales; Mycobacteriaceae. The record is from RNAcentral.